Long non-coding RNA from Oryzias sinensis (Chinese medaka), 1748 nucleotides. Lineage: Eukaryota; Metazoa; Chordata; Actinopteri; Beloniformes; Adrianichthyidae. The record is from Ensembl.
GUAGGAUCUUGCAUUCAGUCAGUUUGUCCCUGCUGUGUGCGCUCCCACCCAACGCCUCCAUUCUCUACCCCCUGCAGAGUCCUCUGAUUGCCGUGGAAACUGCACUUAAAGAGAAAAUUAGGAUUUCCUCCCUCCAAAUUUAAAAGUAUAUCUUAAUUGGUUUCAUUUAUUACAGAUGGGAAGGCAAAAUAAACCUCUUGUUUUAUUUGCUCACGGAGAUGAAAUAAAGACCAAAAAAUAAAUAAAAGUCAGCCUCAAGAAUGCUAACAGCAAUUUAAAUCAAAGAAAGCUGUUGCUCCUGCAACUGAGGCGACGUAAAAAAAAAAAAAAAAAAGAGCGGCACAAAAAGACGGAGAGAAGCCAAAUGUUUCAAGCUCACGGGGCACACGUUGCACACAUACAAACCCACCAAACCAGGCAACACUUAUCCUCAGAAACACCCUUCAGUGUGGACUCAAGAGGGCUGACUGUAGAUGUGGAAAAUUACUGCUCUGAUCUGACCACCCCUUGCACAAUCAAGACUGAAGCCUGUGGGUUCGGUGCAGGUAUAUUUAUCUCCUGUGACAACUAACCUUGCAUUCAUCCAGACACUCAGACGGAACUUAUAACAGAACAGAAAUCGUACACAUAUUCAGUGUAAACUAAAACAUGUUCCAUUUGUGGCUUCGUAAGUGCUGCAUGUGUCUGGGUUCACGUACAUGCCAUUUAAAUACCAGAACAAGGACGGAGCUUCGGGUAAAACACAGUUCUCAAGCAGAAACUGUCAUCGCUCUGCUUCUCCGGCCGUCUCUGUCCCACCCAAAAUACCCGUUCGCUAGGAGUCAGCAUGGACCAACACGUUGGUAACAGUGGCAAGAGUGAAAGGGUUGCAGUUGGAGCUCGGCAAUUGUGGCGCCAGCGUGUGAUUGUGGCAAGACAGCCUGACCGCUCAAAAAUGGCUGAGCUAACAAGGACAGGAGAGCAAGCGAGGUUUGCAGCUUUUGCAAGUGUUGACAAAGAAGAAGCGGCGAACGCAAAAGGGCGGGGAGAGAGUGGAAUGUGGAGUGGACAAUCCAAUUCUUUCUGUUGUUUGGUCAGCCCUUGAGGUCACCACAACAAUAAAUGGAUAUUUUGAAGAGGACCAAAUAAGAGGAAAUGCUUUUGGAAUGCGGUUAUCCAAGUUUCAACUUGGAAACCUUCAAGGACUCUCUGCCAAGUCUCAGGAAAACAACGCAUGCUGACAAAUUGGUUGAAUCGUGAUCAAAGCACCUGCCACACUGAGAACCUGAAACAGGCACCAUUUGGCAGUUCACAAGGUCACUUGUUUUGUAUGAGGAAAGAAGAUGUGCCAAAAUAUGCUUUCAAUCAUAUGCAUGUAGAUAAUAGCAUCUUUUUUUUUAAGUUAGCAAUGUGAAUGAUGCAUGAGAAUACGUUUUUAACAGUUCCAAACCUUUCCUAUUUUUCUUUCUUCUUUUUAAGCACCACUUGGCGUUCAUUAUGAUCUUUCUGGAUCUGGAGCUGUGUUUCAUUAAAUACCUGUUUUCUGUUACCUACUUUUUAAAAUUAGUGUCCUGCUGAGUUCAGUGCUUGUUGUGUGUUUUCUCUGUUUGUAAUGGCACACAAACAUGUAAACAUGAAAUAAAACACUUUGACCAAAUUCCAUUUAACUGCUUAUUAUUUUAUUCAUUAAUUAUUUUUUUUAUUUUUUUUGUUUUUUCCCAUUUGCAUGUUCUGUAGACGUUGUAAGAAAUUGAGAAGUGGUAAGGCAA